RNAcentral lists this long non-coding RNA (242 nucleotides) under Brassica napus (rape). Its description in RNAcentral is "long non-coding RNA (BNAP_LNC005512)". Lineage: Eukaryota; Viridiplantae; Streptophyta; Magnoliopsida; Brassicales; Brassicaceae. The record is from RNAcentral.
UUUCGUUUAGGUUUAGUCCUCUUGGCGAUUCUGACACCUUUGAUUUGCUAUUGAUCUUAUAACAAUCGAACCAGCUCGUCGAGCAAAGCAAACAAGUCGAGGGAAACUCAGCAUGUGCGCAACAACAACAGAAGAGGGAGAUUGAGAACAGCCACAACGAGAAGCUCGUUGGUCUGCUUUCACGAUACUGGUUCAAGAGAAGUCGUGGUCUUAUGCCACGGAUUCAAAUCGGACAAGAACAA